AGCAGCCGCGGUAAUUCCAGCUCCAAUAGCGUAUAUUAAAGUUGUUGCAGUUAAAAAGCUCGUAGUUGAAUUUCGGGAUUGACGUGAUGGUCAUGCCUUAAGGGGUAUGAACUGUUGCUGUUGAUUUCUCACCUUCUGGAGAAACUUGAUGUCCUUUAUUGGGUGUCUUGCGGAUCCAGGACCUUUACCUUGAAAAAAUUAGAGUGUUUAAAGCAGGCAUUUUUGCUCGAAUACAUUAGCAUGGAAUAAUAGAAUAGGACGGCAUGGUUCUAUUUUGUUGGUUUCUAGGAUCACCGUAAUGAUUAAUAGGGAUAGUUGGGGGCAUUAGUAUUCAAUUGUCAGAGGUGAAAUUCUUGGAUUUAUUGAAGACUAACUACUGCGAAAGCAUUUGCCAAGGAUGUUUUCAUUAAUCAAGAACGAAAGUUAGGGGAUCGAAGACGAUCAGAUACCGUCGUAGUCUUAACCAUAAACUAUGCCGACUAGGGAUCGGAUGAUGUUAAUUUUUAAUGUACUCU
RNAcentral lists this ribosomal RNA (515 nucleotides) under uncultured Entrophospora. Its description in RNAcentral is "SSU rRNA". It matches the Rfam family "Eukaryotic small subunit ribosomal RNA", at positions 569 to 1078 of the family's 1831-position model. Lineage: Eukaryota; Fungi; Glomeromycota; Glomeromycetes; Entrophosporales; Entrophosporaceae. The record is from RNAcentral.